AGCGAACGCUGGCGGCAGGCCUAACACAUGCAAGUCGAGCGCCCAGCAAUGGGAGCGGCAGACGGGAUAGUAACACGUGGGAACGUACCCUUCAGUUCGGAACAACCCAGGGAAACUUGGGCUAAUACCGAAUACGUCCGUAAGGAGAAAGAUUUAUCGCUGAAGGAUCGGCCCGCGUCUGAUUAGCUAGUUGGUGAGGUAAUGGCUCACCAAGGCGACGAUCAGUAGCNGGUCUGAGAGGAUGAUCAGCAUCACUGGGACUGAGACACGGCCCAAACUCCUACGGGAGGCAGCAGUGGGGAAUAUUGGACAAUGGGCGCAAGCCUGAUCCAGCCAUGCCGCGUGAGUGAUGAAGGCCCUAGGGUUGUAAAGCUCUUUUACCCGGGGAAGAUAAUGACUGUACCGGGAGAAUAAGCCCCGCUAACUUCGUGCCAGCCGCCGCCGUAAU
RNAcentral lists this ribosomal RNA (448 nucleotides) under uncultured bacterium. RNAcentral's name for it is "bacterial SSU rRNA". It matches the Rfam family "Bacterial small subunit ribosomal RNA", at positions 29 to 524 of the family's 1533-position model. The record is from RNAcentral.